RNAcentral lists this ribosomal RNA (283 nucleotides) under uncultured bacterium. Its description in RNAcentral is "partial 16S ribosomal RNA". It matches the Rfam family "Bacterial small subunit ribosomal RNA", at positions 773 to 1060 of the family's 1533-position model. The record is from RNAcentral.
GUGGAUUAGAUACCCUGGUAGUCUUGGCCUUAAACGAUGUUCACUAGGUGUUGGGGGGUAACCCUCGGUGCCGCAGCUAACGCAUUAAGUGAACCGCCUGGGGACUACGGCCGCAAGGUUGAAACUCAAAGGAAUUGGCGGGGGACCGCACAAGCGGUGGAGCAUGUGGCUUAAUUCGAUGCAACGCGAAGAACCUUACCAGGGCUUGACAUGUAUCUGCAAGUCGCCGAAAAGCGAUCGCUUUCGAAGGUGAUACACAGGUGGUGCAUGGCUGUCGCCAACU